RNAcentral lists this ribosomal RNA (253 nucleotides) under uncultured bacterium. RNAcentral's name for it is "partial 16S ribosomal RNA". It matches the Rfam family "Bacterial small subunit ribosomal RNA", at positions 524 to 776 of the family's 1533-position model. The record is from RNAcentral.
UACGUAGGGUGCGGGCGUUACUCGGAAUUACUGGGCGUAAAGCGUGCGCAGGCGGCCUCUUAAGUCAGAUGUGAAAUCCCCGGGCUUAACCUGGGAACUGCGUUUGAAACUGGGAGGCUAGAGUGUGGAAGAGGGGGGUGGAAUUCCAGGUGUAGCAGUGAAAUGCGUAGAGAUCUGGAGGAACACCGAUGGCGAAGGCAGCCCCCUGGGCUGACACUGACGCUCAUGCACGAAAGCGUGGGGAGCAAACAGG